GAUGAACGCUGGCGGCGUGCCUAAUACAUGCAAGUCGAGCGAACAGACGAGGAGCUUGCUCCUUUGACGUUAGCGGCGGACGGGUGAGUAACACGUGGAUAACCUACCUAUAAGACUGGGAUAACUUCGGGAAACCGGAGCUAAUACCGGAUAACAUGUUGAACCGCAUGGUUCAACAGUGAAAGACGGUUUUGCUGUCACUUAUAGAUGGAUCCGCGCCGGAUUAGCUAGUUGGUAAGGUAACGGCUUACCAAGGCAACGAUGCGUAGCCGACCUGAGAGGGUGAUCAGCCACACUGGAACUGAGACACGGUCCAGACUCCUACGGGAGGCAGCAGUAGGGAAUCUUCCGCAAUGGGCGAAAGCCUGACGGAGCAACGCCGCGUGAGUGAAGAAGGUCUUCGGAUCGUAAAACUCUGUUAUUAGGGAAGAACAAAUGUGUAAGUAACUAUGCACGUCUUGACGGUACCUAAUCAGAAAGCCACGGCUAACUACGUG
This 497-nucleotide ribosomal RNA is filed under the name uncultured bacterium. Its description in RNAcentral is "partial 16S ribosomal RNA". It matches the Rfam family "Bacterial small subunit ribosomal RNA", at positions 28 to 507 of the family's 1533-position model. The record is from RNAcentral.